This 322-nucleotide unclassified non-coding RNA is filed under the name Agaricomycetes sp. RNAcentral's name for it is "partial contains 5.8S ribosomal RNA, internal transcribed spacer 2, and large subunit ribosomal RNA". The stretch from base 1 to 71 matches the Rfam family "5.8S ribosomal RNA", at positions 84 to 154 of the family's 154-position model. The record is from RNAcentral. Lineage: Eukaryota; Fungi; Basidiomycota; Agaricomycetes.
GUGAAUCAUCGAAUCUUUGAACGCACCUUGCGCCCCGUGGUAUUCCGCGGGGCACGCCUGUUUGAGUGUCACGUUAAUCAUCGUUCCAAAGAGAUGUUACAGUUUCUUUGGCGCGGAUUUGGACGCUGCCGUAGUUGGCUCGUCUCGAAAUGCAUUAGCUGUCUAAGGACCCAGAGCUACUGGUGUAAUACUUGUUGUUGCGCCGCCUGUUCUGAGUCUGGUGAAGGCUCAUAAACCGCCCGUGAGGGCAACAUACUUGUGACUUUGGCCUCAAAUCAGGUGGGACUACCCGCUGAACUUAAGCAUAUCAAUAAGCGGAGGA